CGAAAUGCGAUACGCAAUGCGAAUUGCAGAAUUCCGCGAGUCAUCAGAUCUUUGAACGCAACUGGCGCUGGAGGGAUAUCCUUCCAGCAUGCUUGUUUCAGUGUCUAGAAACUUCAAAUAUCUUAAUGUGAUUGAGAAGUGUUGUUAUAUAACAAUAUCAUCUCUCUCAUGAAAUAUGAAGAUGUGGAUCUUUUGAUCCAGCGAAGUGGUCACAUCUUGUAUGUGAUUUCGUUGGCACUCGAAUUAUCCGUAAACAUCUUAUAUCUAUAUAUAUUUUCUUCAAUAUGCAUCUGAAAUCAAGCAAGGUCACCCGCUGAACUUAAGC
Molecule: unclassified non-coding RNA, 325 nt
Filed under: plant metagenome
Description: partial contains 5.8S ribosomal RNA, internal transcribed spacer 2, and large subunit ribosomal RNA
Rfam family: 5.8S ribosomal RNA (bases 1-106)
Source: RNAcentral